Molecule: non-coding RNA, 30 nt
Filed under: Mus musculus (house mouse)
Lineage: Eukaryota; Metazoa; Chordata; Mammalia; Rodentia; Muridae
Source: RNAcentral
UGGAAAGUGAGCUAGAAUUUCGGUUGGCCU